This 45-nucleotide non-coding RNA is filed under the name Schistosoma mansoni. Lineage: Eukaryota; Metazoa; Platyhelminthes; Trematoda; Strigeidida; Schistosomatidae. The record is from RNAcentral.
AUCCAACUGAUGAGUCUCAAAUAGGACGAUACGCGAGUCCUGGAU